AUUGUGUUCCAUUUGUAGUUGUCCCUAUUAAAUGUGCAUCUGAUGCUUUGGCCAUUCUUCGGGAAAGACAAGGAGGAUUUGAUAUCAUUCUAAUGGAUCUUGACAUGCCUGAGAUGCAUGGAAUUGCCCUCCUUGAGAGAGUUGAGGUUGAAUUUAAGAUACCUGUUGUUAUGAUGUCUGCCAAUGAUAAAGAAGUUGUUGCGUUAAGAUGUUUGGAAAGUGGCGCUUCAUUUUAUCUUACAAAACCUUUAACUACAAGUGAUCUAAGUAACCUUUGGCAGUAUGUAUACCUGAA
Long non-coding RNA from Telopea speciosissima, 295 nucleotides. RefSeq lists it as uncharacterized. NCBI's taxonomy places the organism in Eukaryota, Viridiplantae, Streptophyta, Magnoliopsida, Proteales, Proteaceae. The record is from RefSeq and is a predicted model, not a curated record. The transcript is spliced from 2 exons.